UUAUAAAAUAAUAAAUAUUUAAUUUUACAAUGAGAAUGUAAUGUUUUUUAAACUAUAUAAAUAAAGAAAU
RNAcentral lists this transfer RNA (70 nucleotides) under Porrostoma sp. A00402. RNAcentral's name for it is "tRNA-Glu". Lineage: Eukaryota; Metazoa; Arthropoda; Insecta; Coleoptera; Lycidae. The record is from RNAcentral.